GGUUGCAGCCAAUUACAGUUGCAUUAGUUUACGUGGGAACAACCCUUAAGGAUCUAUCUGAUGUGACUCAUGGCUGGAAUGAAUUUUCAAAGUCUGAUUGGGCAUUUCUCGUGUUGGGUCUUUCGAUAUCUGG
Molecule: non-coding RNA, 133 nt
Organism: Cucurbita pepo subsp. pepo (vegetable marrow)
Lineage: Eukaryota; Viridiplantae; Streptophyta; Magnoliopsida; Cucurbitales; Cucurbitaceae
Source: RefSeq, a predicted model, not a curated record